GUAGGUGGCGAGCGUUGUCCGGAAUUACUGGGCGUAAAGGGAGCGUAGGCGGUUUUUUAAGUGGGACGUGAAAUCCCCGGGCUUAACCUGGGAAUUGCGUUCCAUACUGGGAAACUAGAGUGCAGGAGAGGAAAGUGGAAUUCCAAGUGUAGCGGUGAAAUGCGUAGAGAUUUGGAGGAACACCAGUGGCGAAGGCGACUUUCUGGACUGUAACUGACGCUGAGGCUCGAGAGCGUGGGGAGCAAACAGGAUUAGAUACCCUGGUAGUCCACGCUGUAAAUGAUGAAUACUAGGUGUAGGGGGCGAAGCCUUCUGUGCCGCAGUUAACACAUUAAGUAUUCCGCCUGGGGAGUACGAUCGCAAGAUUA
RNAcentral lists this ribosomal RNA (368 nucleotides) under uncultured bacterium. Its description in RNAcentral is "bacterial SSU rRNA". It matches the Rfam family "Bacterial small subunit ribosomal RNA", at positions 527 to 896 of the family's 1533-position model. The record is from RNAcentral.